This is a small nuclear RNA of Arvicanthis niloticus (Nile rat), 103 nucleotides long. The record is from RefSeq and is a predicted model, not a curated record. Lineage: Eukaryota; Metazoa; Chordata; Mammalia; Rodentia; Muridae.
UUGCUUCAGCAGCAGAUAUAUGAAAGUUGGAACAGUACAGAGAAGAUUAGCAGAGACCCUGUGCAAGAACAACACAUGAGAUCAUGAAUUUCAAUAUUUAGAA